UACGGAGGGGGCUAGCGUUGUUCGGAAUUACUGGGCGUAAAGGGCGCGUAGGCGGCCCGGUAAGUCAAAGGUGAAAUCCCUCGGCUCAACUGAGGAACUGCCUUUGAAACUGUCGGGCUUGAGGCCGGGAGGGGGUAGCGGAAUUCCCAGUGUAGCGGUGAAAUGCGUAGAUAUUGGGAGGAACACCGGUGGCGAAGGCGGCUACCUGGACCGGUUCUGACGCUGAUGCGCGAAAGCGUGGGUAGCAAACAGG
This 253-nucleotide ribosomal RNA is filed under the name uncultured bacterium. Its description in RNAcentral is "partial 16S ribosomal RNA". It matches the Rfam family "Bacterial small subunit ribosomal RNA", at positions 524 to 776 of the family's 1533-position model. The record is from RNAcentral.